RNAcentral lists this transfer RNA (71 nucleotides) under Trichonephila inaurata madagascariensis. RNAcentral describes it as "tRNA-Arg". It matches the Rfam family "tRNA". From Rfam's summary of the family: Transfer RNA (tRNA) molecules are approximately 80 nucleotides in length. Their secondary structure includes four short double-helical elements and three loops (D, anti-codon, and T loops). The record is from RNAcentral. Lineage: Eukaryota; Metazoa; Arthropoda; Arachnida; Araneae; Nephilidae.
AUUUGUAGAGCAAUGGAUAGCGCAUUGGACUUCUAAUCCAAAGGUCGUGAGUUCGAAUCUUACCUGGAAUG